CCUACGGGCGGCUGCAGUGGGGAAUCUUGGACAAUGGGCGCAAGCCUGAUCCAGCCAUGCCGCGUGGAUGACGAAGGCCUUCGGGUUGUAAAAUCCUUUCGGCGGGGACGAUAAUGACGGUACCCGCAGAAGAAGCUCCGGCUAACUUCGUGCCAGCAGCCGCGGUAAUACGAAGGGGGCUAGCGUUGUUCGGAUUUACUGGGCGUAAAGCGCGUGUAGGCGGAUCGUUAAGUCGGGGGUGAAAGCCCGGAGCUCAACUCCGGAAUUGCCUUCGAUACUGGCGGUCUGGAGCAUGUCAGAGGCGAGUGGAAUUGCGAGUGUAGAGGUGAAAUUCGUAGAUAUUCGCAGGAACACCAGUGGCGAAGGCGACUCGCUGGGACAUUGCUGACGCUGAGACGCGAAAGCGUGGGGAGCAAACAGGAUUAGAUACCCUUGUAGUC
RNAcentral lists this ribosomal RNA (440 nucleotides) under uncultured bacterium. Its description in RNAcentral is "bacterial SSU rRNA". It matches the Rfam family "Bacterial small subunit ribosomal RNA", at positions 338 to 795 of the family's 1533-position model. The record is from RNAcentral.